UUGACUAAAGUUUGAUCCUGGCUCACAUUGAACGCUGGCGGAAUGCUUUACACAUACAACUCGAACGGCAGCACGGGGGCAACCCUGGUGGCGAGUGGCGAACGGGUGAGUAAUACAUCGGAACGUGCCCAGUCGUGGGGGAUAACGUAGCGAAAGCUACGCUAAUACCGCAUACGAACUGAGGUUGAAAGCGGGGGCUCGCAAGACCUCGCGCGAUUGGAGCGGCCGAUGGCAGAUUAGGUAGUUGGUGGGGUAAAGGCUCACCAAGCCGACGAUCUGUAUCUGGUCUGAGAGGACGACCAUCCACACUGGGACUGAUACACGGCCCAGACUCCUACGGGAGGCAGCAGUGGGGAAUUUUGGGCAAUGGGCGCAAGCUUGACCCAAAUACCACACAUGGGUGACUAACGCCUACUGUAAAUCGAGCCAU
Molecule: ribosomal RNA, 430 nt
Filed under: uncultured Pseudomonadota bacterium
Lineage: Bacteria; Pseudomonadati; Pseudomonadota
Description: bacterial SSU rRNA
Rfam family: Bacterial small subunit ribosomal RNA
Source: RNAcentral